CCUACGGGAGGCAGCAGUGGGGAAUAUUGGACAAUGGGGGGAACCCUGAUCCAGCCAUGCCGCGUGUGUGAAGAAGGCCCUCGGGUUGUAAAGCACUUUCAGUGAGGAAGAACGCCUGGUGGUUAAUACCCAUCAGGAAAGACAUCACUCACAGAAGAAGCACCGGCUAACUCCGUGCCAGCAGCCGCGGUAAUACGGAGGGUGCGAGCGUUAAUCGGAAUUACUGGGCGUAAAGCGCGCGUAGGUGGCUUGAUAAGCCGGUUGUGAAAGCCCCGGGCUCAACCUGGGAACGGCAUCCGGAACUGUCAAGCUAGAGUGCAGGAGAGGAAGGUAGAAUUCGCGGUGUAGCGGUGAAAUGCGUAGAGAUCGGGAGGAAUACCAGUGGCGAAGGCGGCCUUCUGGACUGACACUGACACUGAGGUGCGAAAGCGUGGGUAGCAAACAGGAUUAGAUACCCCGGUAGUC
Molecule: ribosomal RNA, 465 nt
Filed under: Vreelandella stevensii
Lineage: Bacteria; Pseudomonadati; Pseudomonadota; Gammaproteobacteria; Oceanospirillales; Halomonadaceae
Description: partial 16S ribosomal RNA
Rfam family: Bacterial small subunit ribosomal RNA
Source: RNAcentral